RNAcentral lists this ribosomal RNA (765 nucleotides) under Triticum aestivum (bread wheat). RNAcentral's name for it is "partial small subunit ribosomal RNA". The record is from RNAcentral. Lineage: Eukaryota; Viridiplantae; Streptophyta; Magnoliopsida; Poales; Poaceae.
AUGGGCAUGAUGGGAUGCCGUGCAGUCCCUACGCCGAUUGAACAAAAUCAUCAAGUGACGGCUCAGUCAGGCGAGCUGGUGAAUAAGGAAGAUUAUCAGAAACUGGUUGGGAGGUUAUUGUACUUGUGUCAUACCAGGCCUGACAUUACGUAUGCCGUGGGUGUGGUGAGCAGAUACAUGCAUGAACCAAGGAGUGGGCAUCUUGAUAUUGUGCACAGAAUUCUAAGAUACUUGAAGGGGACUCCAGGUAAAGGGUUGUGGUUUGCGAAGAGUGGACAUCUUGAAGUGGAUGGCUAUAGUGACUCUGAUUGGGCCAGUUGUCAAGAUGAUAGAAGAUCAACUUCUGGCUACUGUGUGUUUGUGGGAGGAAACUUGGUGUCGUGGAGAAGCAAGAAACAACCUGUUGUGUCUAGAUCAACAGCAGAAGCCGAGUAUAGAGCUUUAUCUCAAGGGUUAUGUGAGAUGCUCUGGGUGAAGUACCUACUGAGCGAGUUGAAACUUCUGAGGAAGGGACCCUUGAAGGUGUGGUGUGACAAUCAGUCAGCUAUAGCUAUUGCUAAUAACCCAGUUCAGCAUGAUAGGACAAAACAUGUGGAAAUUGAUCGCUUCUUCAUUAAGGAGAAACUUGAUGCUGGUAUCAUCAGUCUUACUCACGUCAGCUCUGGGCAGCAGUUUGCAGAUUGCUUGACAAAGGGACUGGGAACGAAGGACUGUAACUUGGCAUGUGACAAGAUGGGGAUGAUAGAUAUCUACCACCCAUCUUGA